ACGUUGGGUUGUUUUUUCAACCCAACUGCUGGGUUGAGCCAGUUGGGUUAUUUUGUUGGGUUGUUUUAUCAGUGUUGGGUAGUUUUUGUGUAACCCAACUUGUUGGGUUAUAUGUUGGGUAAUUUUGAAGCAGAGCCAACUUAAUAGAUAGCUGUUUCUCAAUAUUACUUUCUCUAGUCCACAAAAUGUAUUUUAAACAUAAGUUCAGGCGAGAAUAUAUAUGUAUAAUGUUCAAAUUUGCAGUCGGUUUGUAAAGUGAACGCCAAUUUUAAAGUUUAAUUUCAAAAAGUCGGAAUGUUACCGGCGCGACCACCGGGUGUCAGUGUUGUUCUUCCCCAGAGAGAACUUCUCCCUUCCCCCACACAGACACGUCAGACUCCUCCUGCCACAGCACGCUACCUGACGCGGGAAUUUAACAUCACCUCAGGAAUCAUACACGGUUUUUCAUCGACUUAUCUUUGAUUUAUUUGAAGGAAAAGGUUUGUGUCAUUGUUUUUAAUCAUUUAAACUAUUUCUGAAUGCAAAAGUAUGCAAAAUGAUGGUUUACAAGACAUAACUCUUAUUGAAAGUUUUAUUAGCGUCCGUUGGCUAGUCUGUAAUGCUCAGUAAAUCUAUAUGCUUGCUUUUAAAUGAUUUAAAUAUUUCGUUUGAUCAAACGUUUUAUGAAAUAUGUCUAAAAUGGCUUGUUUUAAUAAUUUUAGAAACGUUAGAAUGUAGCUAACGUAUUCUAAUGGUUUAGAAAUUCAGUUUAAAACAGAUAACGUUAAUAUGAGGAAGAAACGUGUACGUUUUAAAUAAAUAAUCGUUUGUUGUAAAAGUUGAAAUCAAACUGAUGCUUUUAAUAUCAUGUUUAGAUCAUGAAACUUUAGCCUUGAGUUCACAGACAGGGUGUGAACUCUCAUUUGCUCUACCCUGAUGGAUAAAAGAUGGAUAUUUUUUUCCUGGAGAAGCUAAAACAAUGUCACUUUGAGGUUCUGAAACCAGCUUUUACAAAGUUAUUUACAGACAGAAUCCUGCAACUUCCCAGCCAAGACCCAGGAGCAUCAACAAAUCACCUACAGAACCCCAUGAUGAUAUUCCAACUCCUGUCUACAAAAGUGGGAAGAAAAUCUUAAGUUUAUGAAUUGGGACCAACAUGGUUGCAUUCUUCUGAGAGGCUGAGGUGACAAAACCAUUCCCAUUUGUCCUUGGAUUGGAAGAUGACGAUCUCUGCCAUCAAGCCUUCGUUGUUUUUGACAGACAGUCACUCCAGCAAUACACCCUCCUUGGUGAUGUUGACAUGUUUUAAACUUUUUUUAAUCUUUUGGACAUUAAUUUUACCAAGCAGUGCACAUCAGUGUGGGUGUUUUUGAAGACUGUUGUUUACAAACUCCCAAGAACGGAAUCCCUUUCUAUAAGAAGUCUGUGUAGUUAUUUGUCAUGCUAAGGUGAUUUUUCAUGUUGAUCAUAUAUUGACUAUUUGUGCAACUUAGUGUUGAUCUUAUGUGUUACAUUAACCAUUUCUUAUUACACGGUUCUCUAAAAUGCUAGUUUCUGAUUGGCCAGUCGUGACAUUCUACUACUGCUCAAAACUAAAAACUCCAAUGCUGCAAAUCAUUUUGACAGGUACAGUUUUAUAUUACACAAAAAUUAAAUAUCAAUUUCUAUUAAUAACAUAUCCGACAUUACAUUUACAUUUACAAAUGAUUAAACCAAUGUGUUUGUGACAUUUGUCCUGAAGAAACUGUUGGGGCUUUUUUCUGUGAUGACAUGCUGCCAAUACAUUAUCCCUUACUUGUACAACUUUUUACUUGAUCUAAUUGUAAUGUUAACCGGGUAUCUGUCAUUUUAGAUUGUGAGAUAUAAUACUAAUAUUUUUUUUUUAUUAGAAAGUUGAUUGUUUG
Molecule: long non-coding RNA, 1883 nt
Organism: Paramisgurnus dabryanus
Lineage: Eukaryota; Metazoa; Chordata; Actinopteri; Cypriniformes; Cobitidae
Source: RefSeq, a predicted model, not a curated record